AUGGCGGCGUGCUCACACAUGCAGUCGAGCGGUAAGGCCCUUCGGGGUACACGAGCGGCGAACGGGUGAGUAACACGUGGGUGACCUGCCCUCAGCUCUGGGAUAAGCCCGGGAAACUGGGUCUAAUACCGGAUAUGACCUCUCAACGCAUGUUGGGUGGUGGAAAGUUUUUCGGCUGGGGAUGGGCCCGCGGCCUAUCAGCUUGUUGGUGGGGUGAUGGCCUACCAAGGCGGUGACGGGUAGCCGGCCUGAGAGGGCGACCGGCCACACUGGGACUGAGACACGGCCCAGACUCC
Molecule: ribosomal RNA, 296 nt
Filed under: uncultured Pseudonocardia sp.
Lineage: Bacteria; Bacillati; Actinomycetota; Actinomycetes; Pseudonocardiales; Pseudonocardiaceae
Description: partial 16S ribosomal RNA
Rfam family: Bacterial small subunit ribosomal RNA
Source: RNAcentral